This 431-nucleotide ribosomal RNA is filed under the name uncultured bacterium. RNAcentral describes it as "partial 16S ribosomal RNA". It matches the Rfam family "Bacterial small subunit ribosomal RNA", at positions 29 to 507 of the family's 1533-position model. The record is from RNAcentral.
AACGAACGCUGGCGGCAGGCUUAACACAUGCAAGUCGAGCGCCCCGCAAGGGGAGCGGCAGACGGGUGAGUAACGCGUGGGAACGUACCUUUUGGUUCGGAACAACUCCGGGAAACUGGAGCUAAUACCGGAUAAGCCCUAACGGGGAAAGAUUUAUCGCCGAAAGAUCGGCCCGUGUCUGAUUAGCUAGUUGGUGAGGUAACGGCUCACCAAGGCGACGAUCAGUAGCUGGUCUGAGAGGAUGAUCAGCCACACUGGGACUGAGACACGGCCCAGACUCCUACGGGAGGCAGCAGUGGGGAAUAUUGGACAAUGGGCGCAAGCCUGAUCCAGCCAUGCCGCGUGAGUGAUGAAGGCCUUAGGGUUGUAAAGCUCUUUUGUCCGGGAAGAUAAUGACUGUACCGGAAGAAUAAGCCCCGGCUAACUUCGUG